This is a long non-coding RNA of Beta vulgaris subsp. vulgaris (sugar beet), 837 nucleotides long. RefSeq lists it as uncharacterized. The record is from RefSeq and is a predicted model, not a curated record. NCBI's taxonomy places the organism in Eukaryota, Viridiplantae, Streptophyta, Magnoliopsida, Caryophyllales, Amaranthaceae. The transcript is spliced from 2 exons.
GCUAAUGUGCGUCGGACCCCUUGGCCCAUCCGACGCACAUCAGCCCAAAAGAGAACUCUAAGUCUCUCGGCUCUCUCCCUCUCCUUUUAAUUUUCCCAAACCCUAAUAUGCACAUCAACCGCCUCUCUCUCUCUUCCCCUCUCCCUCUCUCUCUCUCUUCCCCUCUCCCUCUCUCUCAAUUCCAGAACUUGUUCCUCAAAACUCAAUCAACUUAAAUAUAUGGCGACGAAAUUCUCUGGAGAUGAACUAAGCACAAAAUUGCAACAACUUCUUCCUCCUCGAAAUCGGCCGUUUCAUCGAUCAAAUCCCUCGAAACCUACACUUCUUCCUCUCCUGAAAUCCGCAAACGUUUCAUUCGUUUACAUCUUCUUCAUCGUUUCAUUAGUUUCAUUCGUUUCAUUCGUUUACAGAUCUGCCAAAUGCAAUCGAACUCAAACGCAAUCGAAGAUCUGAAAUUUUCAGUAAGAGGAUGGUAUCUUCUCGAAAUCUUGUUGUUGCGUUUGUGGUGAAGAUCUUGAUUGCUAUGAAAUUACAAGAAAUUCUCGAAGAUCUGGAUUGUGUUUGAGUUUUUUUAUUUUUAUUUUUAAUUUUAUCUCCCGUUAUAUAAAAACGCGGUUAUAGAUAAUUUUUUAGUUUGUAAUUUUAUCUUCUGGUUAGGGUUAGAAUUUCUUAUUUUUUUGUAUGUUUUAGUUAUAGAUCUGAUGUUAGUGAUAAUGGUGAUAUUUUUUUCUUCUUGAAAUUAUGUAAAACUGCGCACUGUUGAUGUUAGUCCAUUGCCUUUGUAGUUUGUAAUUUUAUCUUCUCCAUUUUUGUAUGUUCUUCAUUUCCUUUUCAAUU